GACGAACGCUGGCGGCGUGCUUAACACAUGCAAGUCGAGCGGAAAGGCCCUUCGGGGUACUCGAGCGGCGAACGGGUGAGUAACACGUGAGUAACCUGCCCCAGACUUUGGGAUAACCCUCGGAAACGGGGGCUAAUACCGGAUACGACACAGCUUCGCAUGGGGUCUGUGUGGAAAGGUUUUCGGUUUUGGAUGGGCUCGCGGCCUAUCAGCUUGUUGGUGGGGUGAUGGCCUACCAAGGCGACGACGGGUAGCCGGCCUGGGAGGGCGACCGGCCACACUGGUCCUGAGACACGGCCCAGACUCCUACGUGAGGCAGCAGUCGGGAAUAUUGCACAAUGGGCGGAAGCCUGAUGCAGCGACGCCGCGUGUGUGAUGCCGGCCUUCGGGUUGUAAACCUCUUUCAGCUGAGACGAAGCGUAAGUGACGUUACCUGCAGAAGAAGCGCCGGCCAACUACGUG
Molecule: ribosomal RNA, 462 nt
Filed under: uncultured bacterium
Lineage: Bacteria
Description: partial 16S ribosomal RNA
Rfam family: Bacterial small subunit ribosomal RNA
Source: RNAcentral